Photinus pyralis (common eastern firefly) is the source of this 422-nucleotide long non-coding RNA. RefSeq lists it as uncharacterized. The record is from RefSeq and is a predicted model, not a curated record. The transcript has 2 exons. NCBI's taxonomy places the organism in Eukaryota, Metazoa, Arthropoda, Insecta, Coleoptera, Lampyridae.
CAUUAUCCACCAAAUUAUCUUAGUAACGAAGUCACACAGUUUAAUAUAAAAGGAUAAAAUCACGAGCAAUGAAUAUCAGUUACUGUUCAUCCACAACGGUCUGCAUAUCUGCUAAGUACGCCAGUCUUCUAUACCAAAUAUGAAGAACAUUGUUGUGAUUUCUGCGUUGGUGAUGGCAAUGGUCCUCAUCGCCCACAUUAACAACGUAGAGGCAGGAGGAUUCAGUUUAGGUUGCACCAUAUCUUGUGGAAUUUGGAACGCAUGCCGUGGCAAGUCCGCUCUUUCCGGCAGUCUUACACAAUGUGGACCCGAGCCUUCAGGUUGCCGCUGUACAUCAUUCGCUUGGGAAUAGACUAGAAUUUUAUAUUUAUUGUUAUAGAUAAGUAAAUUAUUUUUGCAAAAUAAAAAAUAUACCUUCGAAA